This 433-nucleotide ribosomal RNA is filed under the name uncultured bacterium. RNAcentral describes it as "bacterial SSU rRNA". It matches the Rfam family "Bacterial small subunit ribosomal RNA", at positions 957 to 1391 of the family's 1533-position model. The record is from RNAcentral.
GAACGCGAAGAACCUUACCUGGUCUUGACAUGUACGGAAUCCUCCAGAGACGGAGGAGUGCCUUCGGGAGCCGUAACACAGGUGCUGCAUGGCUGUCGUCAGCUCGUGUCGCGAGAUGUUGGGUUAAGUCCCGCAACGAGCGCAACCCUUGUCAUUAGUUGCCAUCAUUUAGUUGGGCACUCUAAUGAGACUGCCGGCGACAAGCCGGAGGAAGGUGGGGAUGACGUCAAGUCCUCAUGGCCCUUAUGACCAGGGCUUCACACGUCAUACAAUGGUCGGUACAGAGGGUAGCCAAGCCGCGAGGUGGAGCCAAUCUCACAAAACCGAUCGUAGUCCGGAUUGCACUCUGCAACUCGAGUGCAUGAAGUCGGAAUCGCUAGUAAUCGCAGGUCAGCAUACUGCGAUGAAUACGUUCCCGGGUCUUGUACACACC